GGCCAGACUCCUACGGGAGGCAGCAGUGGGGAAUAUUGCACAAUGGGGGAAACCCUGAUGCAGCGACGCCGCGUGAGCGAUGAAGUAUUUCGGUAUGUAAAGCUCUAUCAGCAGGGAAGAAGAUGACGGUACCUGACUAAGAAGCCCCGGCUAACUACGUGCCAGCAGCCGCGGUAAUACGUAGGGGGCAAGCGUUAUCCGGAUUUACUGGGUGUAAAGGGAGCGUAGACGGCGAUGCAAGCCAGAUGUGAAAGCCCGGGGCUCAACCCCGGGACUGCAUUUGGAACUGUGUGGCUGGAGUGUCGGAGAGGCAGGCGGAAUUCCUAGUGUAGCGGUGAAAUGCGUAGAUAUUAGGAGGAACACCAGUGGCGAAGGCGGCCUGCUGGACGGUGUACUGACGCUGAGGCUCGAAAGCGUGGGGAGCAAACAGGAUUAGAUACCCGCGUA
Molecule: ribosomal RNA, 447 nt
Filed under: uncultured bacterium
Lineage: Bacteria
Description: bacterial SSU rRNA
Rfam family: Bacterial small subunit ribosomal RNA
Source: RNAcentral